AAUUGUAGAUAAAAAGUGAAAAUUUGGUUUAUUUUGGGACGGAGGGAGUAUUUGACAUCGCAUACCUACCGAGGCCUUUCCAUUUGAGAUCUUCAAGCAGGCUUUUGUCUUGUUUUGUCCAUUUUCAGGUGUGGGCACCAACCAAAUUCUAGACUGCACCUCAACUACGGAUUUGUUGACGAAGACAAUCCAUAUGAUCGCAUAGCAUCCCUAAACACAGAAGAUCCUCAAAUCCAAGAGAAAAGAAUGGUUGCUCAAAUAAAUGAAAAUCUAGCUAUCCAAAAUGCUGCCCUAUUUGAGGCUAGGAUAUUUUCAGAUCCAGAUGAAAUGCAAGCCAUACUUCCAGAGAAGGAAAUAGUUAUCAAUUAUGUAGUGCUUUUGUUGGACAUGCCCCUUGCUGCUAGAACAUGAUAAUGUGCUGAUUUGUGGCCUUGUGAUAGCUACAUAUUUAUAUGGUUGUGUUCUAUUAUUUGUCUUAUCCCCAUAUAAUUAUGUGCUGAUUUGUGAAUAUGUAUUUUGGAGAUGAUUACGCAAUUUGGC
Molecule: long non-coding RNA, 540 nt
Organism: Oryza brachyantha (malo sina)
Lineage: Eukaryota; Viridiplantae; Streptophyta; Magnoliopsida; Poales; Poaceae
Exons: 3
Source: RefSeq, a predicted model, not a curated record